Moschus moschiferus (Siberian musk deer) is the source of this 1565-nucleotide long non-coding RNA. The record is from Ensembl. NCBI's taxonomy places the organism in Eukaryota, Metazoa, Chordata, Mammalia, Artiodactyla, Moschidae.
UUCAGUCUUUAGUGCAUCUGAGCCCUCCUUCGCUAUGUCUCUAGAAAGUAUCCUGUCCCUUCUCCAGGUUGACUCUUCUGGAUCCUCACCGCGACUCUCAUUCCAUCCAGACUCCCCUUGUCAGCAGAUGGCUUUGCUGCCUAGUUCCCAGAGAAAACUGAGACCGUGCACCACAAAAUCCCUCAACUUCCAGCUUCCCUCCUACAAAGGUUCCACAGCCCAGGAGAAGCAAACUCAGAAGCUGUGUCUGCAAGGACCAUGUGAAUUCAGGAUUCUGUUUCUACUAGACACCUCCCUUCUAUUGGAUGCUGUGCUAGAUAGAAGGGAAGAGGUCAGCCAGCUUCCCCACUGUCAUAUCCUCAGCUCCAGGAAACUACAGACAGAGCCCCUACUGAAAACCCACACGGUUCUCCAUUUCUUCCAAGAUCAAGGGCAAAUUCCAUAGCACACAUCAAAGAGCCUCCAAAGGGUGGGUGGCCCCGGGUCUCUUUCCACCCUGGUUCACUGUUACUCCAUCUGCUUCUCCCUCCUUCCACCCUCUUUUCUCUCUUCCAGCCACAAUAAUCUCCUUACCUUUCCUGGAAGCACCAUGCUCCUUCUUGCCUCCCUGCUUUCACACUUGCUAUUCCUCUGCCUGGAAUUCUUUCCCCUUUCUUCCUUGGGAAUUCUUAUUUACCCUUCCAAGCCUAACUAGAACGUCACCUUCUCAAGGAUGCCUUACCCAUGUCCUCUAAGCUGAAUUUGUUACCCCUUCUUCUAUGUUCCUUCGGCUCCUUUUUCCUAAGAGGAAAUAUAAAUGUAUUAUAAAAGUAAAUACAGGGACUUCCCUGGCAGCCCAGUGGUUAAGAAUCUGCCUUGCAAUGCAUAGGUUCCCUCCCUGGUCAGGGAACUAAGAUGCCACAUACCUCAGGGCAACUAAAGGCCCGCCCACUCUGGAGCCCACAUGCCACAACGAAGACCUAGGGCAGCCAAAAAAAAAAAAGGAGUAAAUAUACAUGUUUAUAACCUCAUUUAUCACUUCCCUGGUAGCUCAGAUGGUAAAGAAUCUGCCUGCAAUGCAGAAGACCCAGGUUCAACCCCUUGGACAGGAAGAUCGCUUGGAGAAGGGAAUGGAAGCCCACUCCAGUAUUCUUACCUGGGAAAUCCCAUGGAUAGAGGAGCCUGAUGGACUCCAGUCCAUGGGGUUUCAAAGAAUUGGACAGGACUGAGCGACAAAUGCAAUUCAACCUCAUUUGUGUUCUCUCUUUGGUGGUAUGAGUCACUUGAACAUUACUUUUUUUGUUAUUGUAUAAUAGUUUCCUCCUCUCCUUUAUUGAAUCAGUCCUGUGUAUUUAUAUUUAUUUGCUUGUAAGUCUCUGAGACAAAUGUUUCUCUUUACUCUGUGUAUGCCUAGGAAGGUGCAUGUGUGUGGUAUGUAUAAAAGCUUUACUGAUUACAGUGUUGAAAUAUGAUUUAUGCCACAAAGGUUUGUGGGGCAAUCCCUCAUGGGAAGGCGUGAACUGAAAAGUUUGGUCACUCACAGCGUUGGUCUCAGAGGAGAUUAUGGUUCAUUUAACAGGAAGCCA